GAAUAUUGGACAAUGGGGGCAACCCUGAUCCAGCGACGCCGCGUGUGUGAAGAAGGCCUGCGGGUUGUAAAGCACUUCUAGUGGGGAUGAAAAGCACAUUGCUAAUACCAGUGUGUCUUGACCUAACCCAAAGAAAAAGCACCGGCUAACUCUGUGCCAGCAGCCGCGGUAAUACGGAGGGGGCUAGCGUUGUUCGGAAUUACUGGGCGUAAAGCGCACGUAGGCGGCGCGAAAAGUCAGAGGUGAAAGGCCUGGGCUCAACCUGGGAACUGCCUUUGAUACUAGCGUGCUUGAGUCCGGAAGAGGGUGGCGGAAUUCCCAGUGUAGAGGUGAAAUUCGUAGAUAUUGGGAAGAACACCGGUGGCGAAGGCGGUCACCUGGUCCGGUACUGACGCUGAGGUGCGAAAGCGUUGGGAGCAAAC
RNAcentral lists this ribosomal RNA (422 nucleotides) under uncultured bacterium. Its description in RNAcentral is "bacterial SSU rRNA". It matches the Rfam family "Bacterial small subunit ribosomal RNA", at positions 359 to 773 of the family's 1533-position model. The record is from RNAcentral.